UCCUAACUUCUUCAUCUUAACUCGGUUAUUUUUCUGUCCUGCAUGAUUUCAGAAUUCGGUUAUAACUUCACGAUAAAUUUUUCAAUUGACUGACACGCAAUGCGUCUCGACACUAUAUUGAUCAAUUGAACAAAAUAAUCACUCCCAUGAUUUCAUAUGCAAUUUUUUGUCAGGCAAGUUCCUCUAUCUUCUCAUAGUAUGCUUUAAUUUCAGUUGUUUUAUGUAAAAUUUUAGAGAUUUUGUUUUGUAAACGAAAAGUAAUUAAGCAACUUCAAUUCAUGCACAGAAGUGGAGAUUUUUACAAGCAUACAAGUUCUUUCCCUUACUAUAUAUGUAAGCUACAGAUUUUAUUAUUGUUGCAGGCUGUUACCGAUGAUGAUAUAUAUAUAUAUAUAUAUAUAUAUAUAUAUAUAUAUAUAUAUAUAUAUAUAUAUAUAUAUAACAAGGAUCAGGUCCGGGAGUCUGGACCUAAUCGAGAGUCCGGAUCUGAUAAAAAAUGGACCAAAUUUUUUAUUUUUUUUGCUUUUAAAUUUAAAACUAAAAAAAAUAUUUAAUAUUUUAUGAAACUGAAAUUUUUUUCAUAAUACAAUGUUUUGGGCGUGAUUUGGAUACCUAUACCAAAAAAUAUAUGUACAGUCUGCACAGACUGUACAUACAUGUUUUGUUAUAUGUAUCCAAAUCACACCCAAAACACUGUAUUAUGUAAAAAUUCAAGUUCCAUAAUUUUUUAUUUAAUUAUUUUUAGUUGUUUUAAAAAAAAAGCAAAAAAAUAAAUAAAUCCGGAUUUUAGUCUGUUCCGGGAGUUCGGACCUGAUCCGGCCUCUCUAUAUAUAUAUAUNNNNNNNNNNNNNNNNNNNNNNNNNNNNNNNNNNNNNNNNNNNNNNNNNNNNNNNNNNNNNNNNNNNNNNNNNNNNNNNNNNNNNNNNNNNNNNNNNNNNUAUGGAAUCUGGUAAGUUGAUGAUUCAUGAUAGUAAUCUUUUGAGUUGAUAACUUGAUAUGUAUAUCAUAUACUUGCCAGUUCGCUAUAGCGACUAUAGAACAGAAAGUCGUCAUAGCAUAUAUAUAUAUAACACUAUCAGGGAGAUAUCUUGUUUUCUAUGAAUAUUAACUGUAGGCCUUUUUUACACAAGGAAAAGAAAAAGGAGUGGUAGCAAUACAAUGAUAAUAUAUGUAGAUGCAAGAGAUGCUAGUUAUUCCCUCUAUUCUGCCUUAAAUAUUUGACUGUUUUGACUCCUUCCACACCUAAGUUUUUAAAGAAAAUAUUCUCGACUGACACUGAGCUGGCUGCAUCUCUCCUAUAUACUCUUUUGUUAGACAUUCAUAGAAAUUGGUAUUACAAGCGGUUACACGGGUCAUAAUAAACCCCCUGCGAAAAAGAAUAGAUACAGAUGGUUAGAAAACAGCUCCUAUUCGAUGAGUUUUCGGUAGAAAAGGAUAAAGGGUCUAGUACUUACUCAAACAUAAUGAUUGCUUUGUCAAUAGAAGCUUAUGUCAGGACCGCUUCCACUUUAACUGGUUUUAAACUUCUUAUAGCUCUCCGUAUAUGCUCAAAUGCCAAGACAAGGAGGCCAAAGAGGUACAGAAGGAAAAUAUAUAGCUUUUCGACAAUGCCAAAUAUCAAAUUUGUAUUGCUUCCUCCCUCGGGAUUUCUUUUGUAUAAUGAUAUUCUUGUCACUAUCCACCCUACAAAGGAUGAGAGUUUAUUAUAAGCACAUGAUGGGAUUUGUUAAAGAUGAUCUUGAAAACUAAUACAAAAGCCAGUACAAAAGAUGAUGUUUAGAGGAUCUCUUGUUCCAAGUCACUGUAGUUCUCAUCUGGUCUGUUUAAACUUUCACCAUUCUGCUUCUGUUAUCAGAAUCACGAGUUUUAUGAAACAAGGGUUCCUUAAAUCAAAUGCCAUCAACAAGAACAAUACCUAGUAAAUCUCAUUACACGUCCGUUGGUAUGAGGGUAAGGUACGGUAGGGUUUUAUGGUCCACAAGACCAUUCCAUGUUUACUAGUGAGACCAACUGAGCUUUUCAAGUGAAAAACUCACAAAGGGAGAGAACAUGAGCUCAGGCAACUUCAUGCCAUAGCCUUUAGGAAAUCAGGGUUUUAGUAGGUGAUAUUGGUGGACCCACCUACUAACAUAUGAACAUUCUAAAAAGGAACCAAUGCGGAAAAAACACGUUCAUAUUCAGUUUGUGAUUCUUACCUGGGCUGGGCUGGGGCAAAUUAGUCCAUUCGAGUGGGUCUAUCUCACUUUCUGAUGCCCUGAUCAACUCAAGAAGAGCUUCAUUGACCUGAGCAAUAAAAAGUUAAUUCUACUGCAAAUUUGGAUUUUUAAAAUAAGUUCUAUGACAAUCUUUCUAUUACGAAAGAAAAAAAAAUCAAUAACUAUUUGUCUUAUUGCUGAAUGACGCAUAUUUUUUCUUCUUUUUUAGUAAAUCCUCAAGAAUCCCAUCUACUGAUACCCGAUCUUUAUACUCACAUAAUUCUAGAAUACAAGGUUCCAACAAUGCCAAUAAAUGUAUAGCUACUUGUAUAAAUUAAUCACAAACAGCGUAUUUACCUCUGCAGUCCUCUCAUGACUCACAAGAUGCCCACCAUGAAGUUCUACCAUUCUAGCAAAAGGGUACAGUCUCUCUGCAAGUCUCCUUGCAUGGCGUAACUGAGCAAUAACAUCAUCCCUAGACGUCCAAAAGACUCGUCUCAGUUAUCUAAGCAGAUAUGGUUAGGUGAAAAGAAUGAAUACUAAGUCUUUGAGAUUAGAAUUAUACCUGCCAUGAAUGACUGAUAUUAGAAAUUUAGAAGAGUGGAUCAACUCAAGUUCCAUUCGAGACAUUUUAUGUGUCCAACAUGCAUUGAUCUGACCAUCAAAACCAUAAUUUGACUGCAUACCAGUAGCUGAUAUGCCCUUAACAUAUUCCUGCAAAAGUGGUGAGUGAACUUAUGAUAAGGAUAUCUUGCUCCUGAACAGGUGAUAGCAACCUUGUAACGUCAUUAUUUUGAAAGCUCUAAAUGAUAGUGUCCUCUACGUGAAGAAAAAAUAAAUGCCACUCUUUGUGAAAUUUAGCAGUUUAAACUGCUAACAAUCAUAUCUCUAGUAAGAGUGCAAAACUUCCACGAUUGAAGGAGGUGCUCAUCCCUCGAUCCCCACCAGUCAGGAAGGACUGUUUCAGUUUGAAGGUUUCGCAGCUAAAUCAGAGUUGACGCUAAUAUAUAGCUAUUAUGGCCACUUCAAAUGAAAGGAGAAAAUACCGAGAAAUUGUUUGUAGUGAUUUAUCGUUCAAUGAAUGACUAAAAAUGAUCCCACUGCUAAAGUGGGCUUUACUCAUCCCACUGCAUUAUAGAUAUCCUUUCAACACAACAUAUAUCAUCAUAGGAUCUUGGAGACCCAGAAAAGCACAAUAGCCAGCACUUCUCAAUAAAUGGAUUUGAAGAGUGCAUAACCGCAUCUCACCUAAUUGCUAUGACUUUCAAGAUGACAAUCUUCAUAAAUCGUAGCACAGAACUGGUAUGAGUGAUAAAGGUGACACUACCAAACUAACCAAUCCAUUUGUUCACGUUAGAUCUUUCACAUGAAGAUUGCAAGCAAGAUACUCAUAAUUUGGGACCAAGCAGGCUAUUGUCUCCAGAUUUGUUGUAGCAUACUGCUACACCAUAGAAUUAAUUGGAAAAUCGAUGCUAUCACUCAAAAAUGUUUGUUAGAAUUACUAGCAAGUCAAGAUUAGUAAAGCACACAAAUUGUGUAAUGGCACAGUGGUGGUUAGCCACUAAAUCCUUGAACUCCCUUUAUUUUCAGUUCUACUUUAAUUCUCCAGGAAAAUAUUUUGUACCUUAAUGCUCAAUUUUAAUAAAGAGCUAAAACAGAUGACGGGAAGUGAAGGUUACCAACAAACAAUACAAAUAGUUAUUAUUAUGGGA
Molecule: long non-coding RNA, 3907 nt
Filed under: Panax ginseng (ginseng)
Lineage: Eukaryota; Viridiplantae; Streptophyta; Magnoliopsida; Apiales; Araliaceae
Description: long non-coding RNA (PGIN_LNC015942)
Source: RNAcentral